This 433-nucleotide ribosomal RNA is filed under the name uncultured bacterium. RNAcentral describes it as "partial 16S ribosomal RNA". It matches the Rfam family "Bacterial small subunit ribosomal RNA", at positions 29 to 507 of the family's 1533-position model. The record is from RNAcentral.
AGCGAACGCUGGCGGCAGGCCUAACACAUGCAAGUCGAACGAACUCUUCGGAGUUAGUGGCGGACGGGUGAGUAACACGUGGGAACGUGCCUUUUGGUUCGGAAUAACUCCGGGAAACUUGUGCUAAUACCGAAUGUGCCCUUCGGGGGAAAGAUUUAUCGCCAUUAGAGCGGCCCGCGUCUGAUUAGCUAGUUGGUGAGGUAACGGCUCACCAAGGCGACGAUCAGUAGCUGGUCUGAGAGGAUGACCAGCCACACUGGGACUGAGACACGGCCCAGACUCCUACGGGAGGCAGCAGUGGGGAAUCUGACGCAAUGGGCGAAAGCCUGACGCAGCCAUGCCGCGUGAAUGAUGAAGGUCUUAGGAUGGUAAAAUUCUUUCACCGGGGACGAUAAUGACGGUACCCGGAGAAGAAGCCCCGGCUAACUUCGUG